RNAcentral lists this long non-coding RNA (759 nucleotides) under Ficedula albicollis (Collared flycatcher). RNAcentral's name for it is "lncRNA (ENSFALG00000024531.1)". Lineage: Eukaryota; Metazoa; Chordata; Aves; Passeriformes; Muscicapidae. The record is from RNAcentral.
GUAUAGCUCAGAACUGCUCAUAUAUUACCUGCAUGACCACAGCCACUAAGGCAACUCUUUAUUGUGGCAUAACUCCCAUCUAAGUCCUGUGUCAUAUAUCCAACAACUCUGUGUGAUCCUGAGGUCUUUGAACCUGGCAACUAAUGCUAACCUGGUGCAAAAGAUUGCCUCUAUUUCUGUGUCAUUUGUUGAUUCUGAUUUUACAGUGGUCCCCUGAGAAUUCAGAGAAAGCUAUUGAACACUUGCUUGCAAUCUGGAAUAGAUUAGUGCUGGGAAAGUUUUGGCUUGUCUAAACCAGAUUUGUUUGUUUAAUUUUUCUCACACUAGCACAUUUUCUGUCUUUUGCCUGCAGGCAGGUUACCUCUUGACAGAACAUGGGUGCCACACUUGACUCAUCACAACAGGAGCAGAGAUUGUUCUGUACUUCUGAGAGCUGCCUUGACCUGUUUUUCACAUUGAGGUUAGAAGCCCAGCAAGAGACAUCAAAGUCACUUUCCUGCUUAGCUUGGCCUGGGGGACUGCUGUAGAUCUAAACGCCGGGGGAUGUCUCUAUUGGAGCAAAAAGAGUCACCACCUGACAAACAGAUUUCUUAACAGCUCCACUGGAAAUGUGACUGGCCUCUGCAGCAAGUCUUAUGCCUGAUGGGCCUCCAGGAGGCACAGACAAGGCCAUAGCCUUUUGUGCAACUGGUAAGGAAGUUUGGGAUAAGAUAAUUGGAUUUCAAAAAGGAAACCCCUAGAUAUUGUAUACAAAAAGCA